GUCCAAUCGGAAACAGUCCAAGUCCAACAUCUCGGACAUACCACAGCAAGAUGGGCCAUUUGUACAGGCUACAUAAGUAGGAAACUGUUUAUAUGGAAAAUCAUCUGCUGGGCUUUUACCAUGGGCUCUGAUACCAUAUUAGUGAUGGGCCUAACUCACACCCAAAAGCUAGCUCAAGAGUGGAGGUUUACCCAUACACUUAUAUAUUGCCCAAGGACCAUCAUCCCACACGAUGUGGGACUCUAAUAGCCCCUCUCGAGAUGUGGAUGGGAAACGGUCCAAUCGGAAACAGCCCAAGUCCAACAUCUCGGACAUACCACAGCAAGAUGGGCCAUUUGUACAUGCUACAUAAGUAGGAAACUGUUUAUAUGGGAAAUCAUCUGCUGGGCUUUUACCAUGGGCUCUGAUACCAUAUUAGUGAUGGGCCUAACUCACACCCAAAAACUAGCUCAAGAGUGGAGGUUUACCCAUACACUUAUAUAUUGCCCAAGGACCAUCAUCCCACACGAUGUGGGACUCUAAUACAAUCCGUGAAGUGAAGGUUCAAGCGCCUUGCCCUUUUUGUUUCUUGCGCAGCAAGUUUUGCAAGCCCUAAUUAUUUUCACUUUUAUAUUUAUCCGAGAGGUAUGGUGGACCUCCGUUGAUUUAUUGAUGUGCCAAGAUGUGGCCGAGACUCUGUUGCUUUCAGAUCCUUUUUUUGGUUUCUCCAAUAUGGCAAAGGUGAGGGCUAUUCCGUUAAAUCCCGAGCUAGUUUAGUACUACUAUCAUGGAAAGUCUAGUUUCGAAACAUGAUCCGUCUCUGUGAAUUGAGUCUGUUUGAGAGUCUUGUUUGUUUAUUAUUAUUAUUGAUUGUUAAACUGAAAAUAGGAUAAUAGAGGAUUCAACAAUUGAAUGAAUUGAGUGAUGUUAAAACUGCUAUAUAUAUGUAUAUAAAUAUAUAAGUCCAUUUGUGUGGAUUGCGGGUACACAAAGACGUUUGUGUAAGUCGCCGACGAGCAGUGUGAUUGCGGGUGCACAGAGACGUUUGUGUAAGCCGCCGACGAGCAGUGUGAUUGCGGGUGCACAAAGACGUUUGUGUAAGCCGCCGACGAGCAGUGAGAUUGCGGGGGUACAAAGACGUUUGUAUCAGUCGCCGACGCGCAGAUUGUAGGAGUGCAGAGAUGGACUACUGUACGCCUAGAGAUAUACAUAUAUCCUUAUGAGGAAAUGCGGGGUGCAUAGAGUAGCAUGUACUAUCAGCGCAUUGGAUGUUUUAUGUGGUGUAUUAGACACUGUGUUUGUUUCGUGCUAGAGCUAUGCCUACAUGGUCAUAGUGCUAUGUACUGAGUUAGUGGUUUGCGGUUUAGCAUCCCAUACCUCACGGAGUAACUCCCCUGUUAUUCACCCCUCUUUCUUCCCUUUGCAGGUGAGCAUGACGAGUAGUUGGAUAUGUGGACGAAUUGGUGUCUUGGGAUCAUUGUAUUUUAUUUUGGUUUUAGUUAACUUUUUGAUUUAAUGUAUUUUGUUUUAAAUUACAAACUUGUUUUAUUUAGAAAUUAUUUGAUUAAAAUGUUUGACAUUUUAUUCGGUUUUAUAAAUCGGUUUAAUUUGGUAUUUUUCGGUUAGUAACACGUCGGUCUCGAGAAAGGAGGAGACGGGUGUUACAACAGACCUUAGCAAUAUGGGUUUUGGACUUGCAGAUAUAACAGCCUUCGCCAGGUUUCAUACCAGGAACUCGGAGAGGAUGCCUCGUGGAGGAGCAUUUUCUCAUGGGAUCAGGUUUCUUUUUCUUGAACAAGCUCUUCUUCUUGUCGGGAUCCUUUGGCGACGUUGGUUCUGGUUUUGGAAACUGCUCCGGGUGAGCUUCCGCGCAAGUCUUUGCCUUUGGCUCACCAUUGUUCAAUUCAGCAGAGAAAGAGAGAGAGAGAGAGAGAGAGAGAGAGGAAGCCGAUUAAUUUCAACCGGCGACGAUAGAGUCGGUGAAAGACGCAGAGGUUUCUAGCGCAUGCUUAGACCACCCGCAUCGGGGGUUUAUGAGAGAGUCAUGGGCUCGGUAUCAUAGGCCUUUUCGAUUAAAAGAAAUGAAUAAAUGGGUUUCAACCCGUGAACCGGGUCUUCCAAGUGAGCCCGUAUGAUACGGGGUCAUGCCACGCGGCGCAGAGGGAAUGGCUACGCGAUCUCGCGUGUUGAGUGAGAAAAAAGGGUAUCGCGUGAAAGAUCCCAUUUUCUCUUCUCUCUUCGAAAUCUAGGGUUUCUCCGUCUCUGAGGCGAUUUCGUGUCGGAGUCCAGAGCCGGAGAUUUUCUCGAUCAAUUCGUCGUCGGAGUCACUCGUAAACGCUCUCAGGUGAGUCUCAAUCACUCCGGGACGAGAUAGCUUCGAUUUGAUCUCGAGAGGUUUCUAGGUUAAGGAUGUCGAUUUGGGGGUUUCGUCUUAGGGUUGUAAAUCGAGAAGGGGGUUUCGAUUUCUUGGUUAAAAUCGACAUACGGUUUCCUUUUAGGGUUCGUUUAUCGUGGAUUUCAUUUCAAUUUGGGGGUUUCGUGUAAGGGUUUGAAAUCUAAAAGGGGGUUUUAAUUUCUUCGUUUAAAUCAACAUACGGAUUUCUUUUAUUGUUUGUUCAUCGUGGAUUUGAAUUGGAUUUGGGGGUUUUUAGUUAGUCUUUCAAUUUUUUUUUUUUUGUUUCUCGGUUGCUUCUGUUCUAAUUAUUUGUUUUCCUGAUACAGAUGGAUCCCGAAGCAGAGAUAAGAGACACAAAGAGAAGAAAUGAGCACAUCGAUAUGCUUUCAUACGUGUGUGAUUCAGAACACGGGAUUCCGACGAGGUGUCCCUGUGGUGGGAGUAUAAUUCACGAGGUUCGUGGGAAGGAGGAAUACGACACUCUCCCCGGCAAGCGUUUCUUCACCUGCAUAAACUACGAGGCUGAUGGUUUUCAUUAUCGUCAGCCUUGGGUCAUUGGUGUGCAGGAGCAUAUCGAACGGCUCACAAGUCGUGUGGAGGAGGUGGAGGCGGUGAUCAAGUGGCUGCCGGAAGUGAAUAAUAAGAUUAAGAGUCUGGAGGUAAUCUGACUUCCCACUUUUGAAUUUUGUUUUGUAAUUUUUUUCUUAUAUUUUAUACCGUGACUAACACCAUCUCAUUGUCAUUUCCUUGUACAGGCAGAGGUGAAAGCCCUCACUGUGGAGGUUGAUAGGCUCACUGGGAAGGUUUAUAACCUGACCGUGCAGGUGGAUCACUUGGAGAAAUGCUGCUUCGACUGAAAACACAAAGGUCACGGGUUCAAGGAGGAGGAUGCGUGGAUGGUUGCAGGUCUCUGUUUCUUUAUGUAUCAAAUCAAGUCACGGGUGGUAAUGUAGUAGUAGGUGGUUGUAGUGGUAGGUUAUGUAAGAUGGAAUCACGGGAGAGUGUAGUGUUUUUCAACUUUCUACACUCGUUUUAUGUAUCAAAUUAAGGGUAUGUCCCCACAGCUUUGCUUUUGUACUCACGGGUGUAUGUACCCACAUGCUACUUGCUUCAAUGUUUUUCUAUAUAAAUGACUAUGUGUUUCAUUCUAUUUAUCUCAUUCAUGCAUUUUAUCAAAACUAUCUUACCAUCAGCCAUACUUUUAUCUAAACUAUCUCACCAUCUCGUAAUCACCAACCAACACCACGAGAAUCACAACAACAAUCAAACAAGAAUCACCAAUCAACACAAGGAAUCAACUCUACUACUCCUCAACCCCACGGAUCAUCUCUACCAUUCAACAGAGGUAAGUUGAAAACCCAAAAUUCUAAGUAAUGAACACAUCCUUAAAUAAUGAAAUUCUAUAUUCUAUAUUAUCAGAUUUAAAACCAAAAAAAGGUUUAUAAUUUACUAAAGUUAAAACCCAAAAAAAAAGAUUCAAGAGAAAUAAACCGAUUUAUAAUUUUCAUGAAAAUAUUUACUAAGUUUAAGACCAAAAUAAUAAAAAAAAAAAACUAAGGUUAAAACCGAAAUAAAAUU
Long non-coding RNA from Brassica napus (rape), 3952 nucleotides. RefSeq lists it as uncharacterized. Lineage: Eukaryota; Viridiplantae; Streptophyta; Magnoliopsida; Brassicales; Brassicaceae. The record is from RefSeq and is a predicted model, not a curated record. The transcript is spliced from 3 exons.